RNAcentral lists this ribosomal RNA (445 nucleotides) under uncultured bacterium. RNAcentral describes it as "bacterial SSU rRNA". It matches the Rfam family "Bacterial small subunit ribosomal RNA", at positions 354 to 796 of the family's 1533-position model. The record is from RNAcentral.
GUAAGGAAUAUUGGACAAUGGGCGCAAGCCUGAUCCAGCCAUGCCGCGUGAAGGAUGAAGGCCCUAUGGGUUGUAAACUUCUUUUAGCAGGAAAAAAACCCCUCGAUGCGUCGGGGGCUGAUGGUACCUGCAGAAUAAGGAUCGGCUAACUCCGUGCCAGCAGCCGCGGUAAUACGGAGGAUCCAAGCGUUAUCCGGAUUUAUUGGGUUUAAAGGGUGCGUAGGCGGAUAAGUAAGUCAGUGGUGAAAGCCUGCAGCUCAACUGUAGAAUUGCCAUUGAUACUGCUUAUCUUGAAUAUAGUUGAAGUGGGCGGAAUAUGACAUGUAGUGGUGAAAUACUUAGAUAUGUCAUAGAACACCGAUUGCGAAGGCAGCUCACUAAGCUAUUAUUGACGCUGAGGCACGAAAGCGUGGGGAGCAAACAGGAUUAGAAACCCGAGUAGUCC